GCCCGAGUGGCGGAAUUGGUAGACGCGUGCGCUUCAGGUGCGUAUGUCCUUUGGACGUGGAGGUUCAAGUCCUCUCUCGGGUA
Molecule: transfer RNA, 83 nt
Filed under: Gracilimonas sp.
Lineage: Bacteria; Pseudomonadati; Balneolota; Balneolia; Balneolales; Balneolaceae
Also listed under: 3 other names
Description: tRNA-Leu
Rfam family: tRNA
About the family: Transfer RNA (tRNA) molecules are approximately 80 nucleotides in length.
Source: RNAcentral